This 1272-nucleotide long non-coding RNA is filed under the name Arabidopsis lyrata. RNAcentral's name for it is "long non-coding RNA (ALYR_LNC002035)". The record is from RNAcentral. Lineage: Eukaryota; Viridiplantae; Streptophyta; Magnoliopsida; Brassicales; Brassicaceae.
GAGGACAUGUGACCGAACUUUUCUUCUCUUUGUGAUUUUAUUUAGUCUCAAUUAGAGUUCGCCGUAGUCUCGUUUUCUCCCAGGCCCGACGCCCAAGGUAGCCGCACAUCGGAAGCAAGAUGACGCAUCACCGGCGUUUUGUCUCUGUUCUUCCUCUCGCCUCUCUCGAAAUCUCUGAAGAACCGUCCCAAACUUCCGCCGGUAGAUCUACGACGCCGGCGAGAUCUUUUUAAAUUUUCUUUGGCGUUUUUUCUGCUCCGGUCUCCAUGUUGAUGUGUUCGACUUUGACGUUUGCUCGCUCGCUUUCUCCGUCCGCAGUGACAUCUCAAGAAGGUCUUCUCAAGCUGCUUUGUAAGCUCAAUCUGUUUUCUCCAAAGUCUUCAGAACCUCUCCACCCACCGGAGCCACCAGAUCCCCCACCGUUUCCAAGUUCCUCCUCACCUCCGAAGAUCAAGGUGUUGACCUUCCUUCCUGUCGAGUGUUGCCUCGCUGGCCUGACGUGUUUCGCCGGCGACAGCCACUUUUCCCCAUCGUCGUUCCCGUAACCAAGACUGCUGAGUUGGACCUUUCUCUGGUCCUUUUGUUACUGGGCUUGGUGAGCCCAUUAAUGUCUGCAGGUUUUUUUCCCAGCCCUCAUAAGCUCAUUUAUGUUGUUGGCUUCACUGUUGUUCCUUCAGGAGUUCUUUCCAGUGUUUUUACCGACUUUUUUCCGAGACUCUACUCCUUUACGGAGAAACCUUCCUCCUUUACGGAGAGACCUUCCUCCUUUACGGAGAGACCUUCCUCCUUUAUGGAGAGAUCACUUCCACCUAUUUCCUCCUCCUUGGAGAGAACACUUCCAUCUUCCUCCUUUCUCAAGGAGAGACCUUUCUCUUCAUUCCUCUUCUACAUGAAGAGUGUUUGUCAAAGCUCAGCCUUUAUGGCAUUUAGAGCCUAGUCUGUUCGCUCGCCUCCUUUGGCAUCUAAACAUGUUACAGCACCCUCGGAUCAAGUCCAAGUGUUGUCGAUCGACUUCAUGCUGAUCACCUUCGAAGCCAUUUUGAAGAAUCUCCUGGUUAUUAUCUAUGGAUUUAACCUUCUAUCUUAUUGUUUUCAAGCUUUGUAUUUCAUUUGUGUUUCCUUUUCGAACAUUCAACAAGUGAUCUCUUUGGCAAGGAGUUUACGGAUUCGUUUGGGUGUUGUAUUCGCAAGCUAGUUUUAAUAUAAUUACCGUUUGACCAAAAAAAAAAAAAAUCUAGUCUCAAUUUGGAUGAUCAAAACCAAUGUAAAACU